AUGGGACGACACUCCAGAGUGGAGCUAGGGACCAAAAGAAGGAAUAAGGCAGCUUAUCUUGCUGAUUGUGAACCUGAGGUGCUGAAAGGAGUCAGCAGAGGAGAAAGUGAGGAAACGGCUCGCUGGUUCCAGUGUACAAUACUAUGCAAGAGCAAAAAACUAGAGGGUCAAGUCUUCAUGGUUGGACCACGGGUCUACUUAGAUAAAAUACCUCGACUUGACACAACAUAUUCCUCUGUGAAUAUAGAUCUCAUUGGAAUUGCAAGAAAGAACAAUGAAGACCAACAGCAGCCACACUGUGUGUUCCUGUGAUCAUCUGUCAAUAUUCGCUCUCAUCAUGCAAACCAGCCAUCCACACUAUGACAUGUUUUUUCAGAGCAACUUACAGCAACUUCUGAUGAUUUUUGUGUAUGUGACCGUGGGGGUGGUCUUCAUUUUGGCCCUGCUGACCCUUAUCAUUUUCAUAGCAGUUUAUUCCCAUGUGUGAUUGGAUAUCUGGUUCCUCUGAUUUCUGAAAGCUAUGGCAGUGAGCAGUAUGUAGUUUUUUAGUUUAUUUGUUGUUAAUUUGUUUAGAUGGAGGAAUCAUGUUAUAGAACUGUAUAUUCAUUUAAAUAUUAAUAAGCUUGAUACAAAAUGAUAUAAAUGGCAACAUUAUUUUUUUAAGAAGGAAGGCCACAGGUUUGAUGGAUAUUGUGAUAUACAUUUAAAACUAAACCAUAAAAUAACUCUGUGAUCAGAUAAUAUCUUAUUCAAAGUAAAUCUGCAUUGUCAUGUGGCUUGGAAUUUGUGUUUUAAAAAUUGUGAAUGACUAGAUUGUAUAUUACUUU
Molecule: long non-coding RNA, 827 nt
Filed under: Carassius auratus (goldfish)
Lineage: Eukaryota; Metazoa; Chordata; Actinopteri; Cypriniformes; Cyprinidae
Description: lncRNA (ENSCARG00000051186.1)
Source: RNAcentral